Acinonyx jubatus (cheetah) is the source of this 2109-nucleotide long non-coding RNA. RefSeq lists it as uncharacterized. NCBI's taxonomy places the organism in Eukaryota, Metazoa, Chordata, Mammalia, Carnivora, Felidae. The record is from RefSeq and is a predicted model, not a curated record. The transcript is spliced from 3 exons.
CGUACUUGCUCACUGCACAGGGUCCUUGGCCCAGUCUGUGCUGACUCAGCCAUCUUCAGUGUCUGGGUCCCUGGGCCAGACGCUCACCAUUUCCUGCACUGGAAGCCCAGCCAACAUUGGGGCCGGUAAGGACGGUCCUCGGUGAUCCAAAGCAGCCUCUGAGCCUAUGUCCACACGUUUGGAUCAGCUUCCAAGCAGCUUCCCCUCCAUCCCUGCCCCAUCACCCAUGAGCGCGGGUGUUUGCAAGUUCUUUCUGCCAGCCCAUGCUGGCUCAGACACCCUCCUUGUCCGCAUCUCUGAAGAAUCUAAUAGACUCAUUUUCACCCUGGGAAGUGACAUCAAUGUUGUUUUAAGAAAUAUGCAUAAUGGUGCUAGUAGAAGCCAUGGAAUCCUCGGUGGUAUCUCCUGUGAUUCAAGGCAGGGUCAAAUACCACACCAGAGAUCCCAGUGCCCUGUCAUUUUCUGGAUCCAAAGAUGUUUGACCAAUGCAUAUGUUCUGACGUCUCUGGAAUCUUGUGUGCAAGGAAGUGUCUCUGUGUCAUAUAUGCCAAGAUAGUACCAAUGCUUACACAGUGCUUUAGAUCCAUGGGGAAGUGAGAGAAAAUCUCCCUCCACUCUCUAGACCUGGUGGCAUCCCCUGUCAAGAGGUUCCGGGAGUGACUUUUGUUGUCAGAUCUUCCAAAAGAUUAUUGUUGUCCUGGAAUAAGAUGAUCUGAGAGUGCCAUAUCCCUUCCUUCAGUUAUAUCUUCAGAGUGAUCCUUACUCACCCUUUGUUCAUAUUUUCGAGGGCAAACUAGCUUGUUCAGAGUUACAAAUGACUCAGUGGAGGAGAGCCUGGCUGUCUCAGUGGUUAGAGCAUGCAACUCUUGACCUUGGGUUUGUGAGUUCAAGCCCCACUUUAGGUACAGAGGUUACUUAAAAACAAACUGUUGCGGGUCACCUGGGAGGCUCAGUUGGGUGAGCGUCCAACUCUUUGAUUUCAGCUCAGGUCAUGAUCCCAGGGUGUUGGGGUCGAGUCCUGUGUCAGACUCCACACUCACUUUCUCCCUUUUUCCUGACAUAGAGCUCUGCUGAGCUCCUGAAUUCCCUGGUGCUGGGCAGUGCCUUCCCAAUGAGCAGAUCUGAACAGAUCCCUUAACAAGGAAGAUAGACAAAAUGACUAUUACACAUGCAAAGUGAUUUCCAACUUCAUAUGUCAUUGUGGUAUUACAAAUUGAACAAGGACGUACCAGAGGCCUCCCAUGUCUAUGGCUGAAGUUCAAUACAGUGACAGCACCAAUACUACCGAGGAUGUGGGGCAGCAGGAACUCUCAUUCGCUGCUGGUGGGAGUGUGAAAAGCCCCAUCACUUGGGAAGAUUCCUUGUGAGUGGUUUCUACCGCAAACAAAGCCUUAACGAUAGAAUGCAAAAAGAACAGUCCUACAGCUUACUCUAAAUGAGGUUCUUGUGUGCAAAUGAGAAUGUGCACCUAAAUGUGUGUUGCUGUCUUAUUUAUGAUUGCCAAGACUCGAAAGUGAUCAACGCACCCUUAGAAUGGGUAAACAAUAUCUGUAUGUCCACACAUGGAAUAGGACGCAGGAGAAAGACAUGAGUUAUCAGGCCACAAAACACAUGGGUGAAACUUCCAUGCAUAUGUGUUAGUGCCAGAAUCCACUGUGAAGAGUCUGCAACAGUGAGCAGGGGGGAUGAGGGGCAGGGACCCAGGCCCCAGCUCCAGGCCCUGGGUCACUGUGCAUCCCGUGUCCACCAGACGGCACUGGUGCUCCCCCAAUCCCUCAGCUGGCAGGUUCCCUCUCCUUGUGUCUAGCAGGUGCUCUUGAUGAUUUGCACAGACAGGAUUGCAAGUCUCCCAGAACACGGAGGUGAGGUCGCAAGAUGGCCUUGCAGUGGUCCCUGCUGGAUGCCCAGCUCUGCUCUGUCCCCCACCUGCAGCACCCUCAUCAGGGUUUGCUGUGUCUUGUCUCCCCUGCUCUGGAGGGACCCAGCAUGCCCACAUUACGUGUCCUCCUGCAUGAGUGUGUGUCCCCUAGGUGAGCUCCUGUCCACAUCCGGCACCCAGAGCCAGCAUGCAUCGUCUGAGCUGUACCAUUGGGACAGAUGGUUUCUAUU